UUGGGUUUAAGGGUGCGCAGGCGGGAUUUUAAGUCAGAGGUGAAAUUUUCAGGCUCAACCUGAGAACUGCCUUUGAAACUGGGAUUCUUGAGUAUGGAUGAAGUAGGUGGAAUUCGUUGUGUAGCGGUGACAUGCUUAGAUAUAACGAGGAACUCCGAUUGCGAAGGCAGCUUACUGGGCCAUAACUGACGCUCAAGCACGAAAGCGUGGGGAUCAAACAGGAUUAGAUACCCUGGUAGUCCACGCCGUAAACGAUGAUUACUAGUUGUUUGCGAUAUACCGUAAGUGACUAAGCGAAAGCGAUAAGUAAUCCACCUGGGGAGUACGCCGGCAACGGGGAAACUCAAAUGAAUUGACGGGGG
Molecule: ribosomal RNA, 362 nt
Filed under: uncultured bacterium
Lineage: Bacteria
Description: bacterial SSU rRNA
Rfam family: Bacterial small subunit ribosomal RNA
Source: RNAcentral